GGGAGGUAGUGACAAUAAAUAACAAUACGGGGUUCUUUAGGAUCUCGUAAUUGGAAUGAGUACAAUUUAAAUCUCUUAACGAGGAACAAUUGGAGGGCAAGUCUGGUGCCAGCAGCCGCGGUAAUUCCAGCUCCAAUAGCGUAUAUUAAAGUUGUUGCAGUUAAAAAGCUCGUAGUUGAAUUUCGGGGUUAGUAAGUUGGUCAUGCCAUUGGUAUGCACUGGCUUUACUGAUUCCUCCUUCUUGACGAACCGUGAUGUCAUUAAUUUGGUGUUGCGGGAAAUCAGGACUGUUACUUUGAAAAAAAUUAGAGUGUUUAAAGCAGGCUAACGCUUGAAUACAUUAGCAUGGAAUAAUGAAAUAGGACGUUAAUCCUAUUUAGUUGGUUUCUAGGAUCGACGUAAUGAUUAAUAGGGAUAGUUGGG
Molecule: ribosomal RNA, 423 nt
Filed under: uncultured Glomeraceae
Lineage: Eukaryota; Fungi; Glomeromycota; Glomeromycetes; Glomerales; Glomeraceae
Description: SSU rRNA
Rfam family: Eukaryotic small subunit ribosomal RNA
Source: RNAcentral